RNAcentral lists this ribosomal RNA (800 nucleotides) under Pseudomonas sp. RNAcentral's name for it is "bacterial SSU rRNA". It matches the Rfam family "Bacterial small subunit ribosomal RNA", at positions 65 to 862 of the family's 1533-position model. Lineage: Bacteria; Pseudomonadati; Pseudomonadota; Gammaproteobacteria; Pseudomonadales; Pseudomonadaceae. The record is from RNAcentral.
AGCGGAUGAGUGGAGCUUGCUCCACGAUUCAGCGGCGGACGGGUGAGUAAUGCCUAGGAAUCUGCCUGGUAGUGGGGGACAACGUUUCGAAAGGAACGCUAAUACCGCAUACGUCCUACGGGAGAAAGCAGGGGACCUUCGGGCCUUGCGCUAUCAGAUGAGCCUAGGUCGGAUUAGCUAGUUGGUGAGGUAAUGGCUCACCAAGGCGACGAUCCGUAACUGGUCUGAGAGGAUGAUCAGUCACACUGGAACUGAGACACGGUCCAGACUCCUACGGGAGGCAGCAGUGGGGAAUAUUGGACAAUGGGCGAAAGCCUGAUCCAGCCAUGCCGCGUGUGUGAAGAAGGUCUUCGGAUUGUAAAGCACUUUAAGUUGGGAGGAAGGGUUGUAGGUUAAUACCCUGCAAUUUUGACGUUACCGACAGAAUAAGCACCGGCUAACUUCGUGCCAGCAGCCGCGGUAAUACGAAGGGUGCAAGCGUUAAUCGGAAUUACUGGGCGUAAAGCGCGCGUAGGUGGUUUGUUAAGUUGGAUGUGAAAGCCCCGGGCUCAACCUGGGAACUGCAUCCAAAACUGGCAAGCUAGAGUAUGGCAGAGGGUGGUGGAAUUUCCUGUGUAGCGGUGAAAUGCGUAGAUAUAGGAAGGAACACCAGUGGCGAAGGCGACCACCUGGGCUAAUACUGACACUGAGGUGCGAAAGCGUGGGAGCAAACAGGAUUAGAUACCCUGGUAGUCCACGCCGUAACGAUGUCGACUAGCCGUUGGGAUCCUUGAGAUCUUAGUGGCGCAGCUAACGCAUUA